RNAcentral lists this ribosomal RNA (371 nucleotides) under uncultured bacterium. RNAcentral describes it as "bacterial SSU rRNA". It matches the Rfam family "Bacterial small subunit ribosomal RNA", at positions 527 to 896 of the family's 1533-position model. The record is from RNAcentral.
AGAGGGGGCAAGCGUUAUUCGGAAUUAUUGGGCGUAAAGGGCGCGUAGGCGGCUUUGCAAGUGGCGGGUGAAAUCCCUCGGCUUAACCGAGGAACUGCCUGCCAGACUGUGAGGCUUGAGACCGGGAGAGGUGAGUGGAAUUCCCAGUGUAGCGGUGAAAUGCGUAGAUAUUGGGAGGAACACCAGUGGCGAAGGCGGCUCACUGGACCGGAACUGACGCUGAUGCGCGAAAGCGUGGGGAGCAAACAGGAUUAGAUACCCUGGUAGUCCACGCCGUAAACGAUGAGUGCUUGGUGUAGCGGGUAUCGACCCCUGCUGUGCCGACGUCAACACAUUAAGCACUCCGCCUGGGGAGUACGGUCGCAAGACUG